Molecule: transfer RNA, 91 nt
Filed under: Felis catus (domestic cat)
Lineage: Eukaryota; Metazoa; Chordata; Mammalia; Carnivora; Felidae
Rfam family: tRNA
About the family: Transfer RNA (tRNA) molecules are approximately 80 nucleotides in length.
Source: Rfam by way of RNAcentral
GCCUGGGUGGCUCAGUCGGUUGAGCGCCUGACUCUUGAUUUUGGCUCAGGUUAUGAUCUCGGGGGUGUGGGAUCGAGCCCCGCAUUGGGCU